Molecule: long non-coding RNA, 346 nt
Filed under: Hordeum vulgare
Lineage: Eukaryota; Viridiplantae; Streptophyta; Magnoliopsida; Poales; Poaceae
Description: long non-coding RNA (HVUL_LNC000164)
Source: RNAcentral
AGAAGCCGGAGCUGUUGGUGGUGGUCGCGGCGGUGAAUCGGGCGUCUCCGGGUUUGGUCCGGUAGGAACCCUCCUGAGCACCGAGAAGUCCCUCUGAGGUGGUGGCGGUGAAUCGGGCGUCUCCGGGUUUGGUCCGGUAGGAACCCUCCUGAGCAUCGAGAAGUCCCUCUGAGGUGGUGGCGGUGAGUCGGACGUCUCUCGGUUUGGUCCGGUCGGAACCUUCCUGAGCACCGAGAAGUCCCUCUGAGGUGGUGGCGGUGAGUCGGACGUGAUGGGGUCUGGCCCACCGGGGACCUUCCGAAGAACCGAGAAGUGUGCGCUGGUGGCCGACGGUGGUGGUGGUGAG